GGAGGGGUAACGGCCCACCAAGGCGACGAUCAGUAGCCGGUCUGAGAGGAUGAACGGCCACACUGGAACUGAGACACGGUCCAGACUCCUACGGGAGGCAGCAGUGGGGAAUCUUCCGCAAUGGGCGAAAGCCUGACGGAGCAACGCCGCGUGAGUGAUGACGGCCUUCGGGUUGUAAAACUCUGUGAUCCGGGACGAAAAGGCAGAGUGCGAAGAACAAACUGCAUUGACGGUACCGGAAAAGCAAGCCACGGCUAACUACGUGCCAGCAGCCGCGGUAAUACGUAGGUGGCAAGCGUUGUCCGGAAUUAUUGGGCGUAAAGCGCGCGCAGGCGGCUUCCCAAGUCCCUCUUAAAAGUGCGGGGCUUAACCCCGUGAUGGGAAGGAAACUGGGAAGCUGGAGUAUCGGAGAGGAAAGUGGAAUUCCUAGUGUAGCGGUGAAAUGCGUAGAGAUUAGGAAGAACACCGGUGGCGAAGGCGACUUUCUGGACGAAAACUGACGCUGAGGCGCGAAAGCGUGGGGAGCAAACAGGAUUAGAUACCCUGGUAGUCCACGCCGUAAACGAUGGAUACUAGGUGUAGGAGGUAUCGACCCCUCCUGUGCCGGAGUUAACGCAAUAAGUAUCCCGCCUGGGAA
RNAcentral lists this ribosomal RNA (637 nucleotides) under uncultured bacterium. RNAcentral's name for it is "bacterial SSU rRNA". It matches the Rfam family "Bacterial small subunit ribosomal RNA", at positions 251 to 879 of the family's 1533-position model. The record is from RNAcentral.